RNAcentral lists this unclassified non-coding RNA (342 nucleotides) under uncultured fungus. Its description in RNAcentral is "partial contains small subunit ribosomal RNA, internal transcribed spacer 1, and 5.8S ribosomal RNA". The stretch from base 1 to 73 matches the Rfam family "Eukaryotic small subunit ribosomal RNA", at positions 1759 to 1831 of the family's 1831-position model. Lineage: Eukaryota; Fungi. The record is from RNAcentral.
GCAAACUUGGUCAUUUAGAGGAAGUAAAAGUCGUAACAAGGUUUCCGUAGGUGAACCUGCGGAAGGAUCAUUAAUAAAUUUAUAAAAAAAAGUUUUCUUCAUUAUUUUAAUGGAGAUUACGAGUAUAAAUGUGCACAAAAAAUAGUAAAAAGGUUCUCUUUUUUAUUCCUUUGUCAUUAACUUGACAAAUAAAUAAAAAAAAGUCCCUUUAACUCACUUUUUUAAUGAAUUAAUGGCAUUUAACUUUAAAAUUUGACUAAUUUAGUCAAAAAAUAAUGAAAUAAUGAAAAAACAACUUUUAACAACGGAUCUCUUGGCUCUCCCAUCGAUGAAGAACGCAGC